This 577-nucleotide long non-coding RNA is filed under the name Macaca mulatta (Rhesus monkey). Its description in RNAcentral is "lncRNA (ENSMMUG00000049828.1)". Lineage: Eukaryota; Metazoa; Chordata; Mammalia; Primates; Cercopithecidae. The record is from RNAcentral.
UUUCCGUGUUCCCCUCCUCUCUUUUAGAAACAGCAUCCCAAAAGUUUUAGCUGGGCAGUUCGGCUCAGCUGGAGAGUGUAUUUCCCAGCUUCCCUUGCAGUUAGGUGUGGUUAUGUGACAUAUUUGAGCCAAUAGGAUGUGAGCUAAUGUGAGAAUGCACAAAUUCUGGGCCUUAAAGCCUAAGCUAUGUUUCCUAAAUGUCCCUCUUCCUCCUUCCCACUGGCUGGAAAAUGGCGAUAACUUGAAGCCACAGGUGCAGGAGGGUAAGACUGUUCUCCCUGUCCUGGCCUGCUCACUCCAGACACAGGAUUUCCCCAACUUUUGGAAAGGCUACAGCUCAUAUGCAAGUGCAAAAUGCUGUCUGGAGAAGACAUGCUGGAAAGGGAGAGAGAAGGAGUUGACAUGUUAUUGGCAUGGAGUCAAUAAUGCAAAGGGUAAGAAAUUUAGAGUAUUUCAGAUGGAAGAACAACUUUGGAUCUGGGAUAUCAAGGAAGAGAAACAGAAAUCACAGCAGACAUCAUAUUCAAAUGGUCAUAUGCCAUAGACAUACCAUUUGAGAAAAAAAUUUUUUGUACCC